AUUGAACGCUGGCGGCAGGCCUAACACAUGCACGUCGAACGAGUGGCGGACGGGUGAGUAAUGUCUGGGAAACUGCCUGAUGGAGGGGGAUAACUACUGGAAACGGUGGCUAAUACCGCAUACCAUCAGAUGUGCCCAUAUGGGAUUCGCUUGUUGGUGGGGAAACGGCUCACCAAGGCGACGAUCCCUAGCUUGUCUGAGAGGAUGACAAGACACACUGGGACUGAGAAACGGCCCAGACUCCUACGGGAGGCAGCAGUGGGGAAUAUUGCACAAUGGGGGCAAGCCUGAUGCAGCCAUGCCGCGUGUAUGAAGAAGGCCUUCGGGUUGUAAAGUACUUUCAGCGGGGAGGCGUUACCCGCAGAAGAAGCACCGGCUAACUCCGUGCCAGCAGCCGCGGUAAUUC
This 406-nucleotide ribosomal RNA is filed under the name uncultured bacterium. Its description in RNAcentral is "partial 16S ribosomal RNA". It matches the Rfam family "Bacterial small subunit ribosomal RNA", at positions 30 to 526 of the family's 1533-position model. The record is from RNAcentral.